Molecule: ribosomal RNA, 388 nt
Filed under: uncultured bacterium
Lineage: Bacteria
Description: partial 16S ribosomal RNA
Rfam family: Bacterial small subunit ribosomal RNA
Source: RNAcentral
AUACGGAGGAUGCGAGCGUUAUCCGGAAUUACUGGGCGUAAAGGGCGCGUAGGCUGCGCUUCAAGUCGUCUGUCAAACAAUAAGGCUCAACCUUAUUUUGCAGACGAAACUGUGGCGCUGGAGAAGCAGAGAGGCACACAGAAUUCCUGGUGUAGCGGUGAAAUGCGUAGAUAUAUGGAAGAACACCAGUGGCGAAGGCGCUUCACUAGCCCGAAACUGACGCUCAGUCACGAAAGCGUGGGUAGCAAAUAGGAUUAGAUACCCUAGUAGUCCACGCUGUAAACGAUGACAACUAAAUAUUGCCGCGAGGCAGUGUUGAAGCUAACGCAUUAAGUUGUCCGCCUGGGGAGUACGGUCGCAAGACUGAAACUUAAAGGAAUUGACGGGG